This is a long non-coding RNA of Vombatus ursinus (common wombat), 2579 nucleotides long. RefSeq lists it as uncharacterized. NCBI's taxonomy places the organism in Eukaryota, Metazoa, Chordata, Mammalia, Diprotodontia, Vombatidae. The record is from RefSeq and is a predicted model, not a curated record. The transcript has 4 exons.
UUGCUUAAUAUGUUAAUCACUGUCAAACUUUACUGUCUGUGAAAUGGUGCACUUGUAAUUUACCUUUUUAUAUGUUGUCUGCACUACAGGAUUUGUCUCCCUACUCCUGCAGAGCCCCAGCAUUUUUUUGCACCCUAAAUGGUUGCCUAAGCAUGGUUGUGAUCAUGAAGAACUGUGGAGAAUGGUUACAACAAUACAAAAGAAAUAAGGGGUGAGAUGGUAAGGUCCAGGUAGGUUCCGCCCUACCCUUCUCCCUCAAAAUCCACAAAACUCCGGUGGAGGAAGUGAAAGUCAGUGGAAAUCUCAGUUUGGAUGUAUCUUUUUCUGUUGGUCACAAAGGGACCAUCCUUGAUUUGUACUCAGACAAAUAUUGGGGUAGCUGAGAUUGGGGAGAGAGGUGAGUGGCCUAAGUUCAGGGCUCAGGUCAGUGAUUUCCAAUCAUGGUUUACAAAAUUCUCCAAAUAACAACUCCUUUUAAUUCACUUUGAGUUGUAAAACCCAUUGUAUUGUGAUCCACAUUGCCUUCCUUGGAGGGCUGAGGGGAAAAAGUAUAGCGUCAGACCAAGUUUGACCGAUCAUCAUGGUUACAAAAUUUAGGAAACCUUGGCUUAAGUCUUUAUCCCACUUGCUACCUCGUCUCGGGCACCAGCACAUGAUAGUUGAGGAAAAAACUCCGGCGGAUUUAUCAGUGGCCUGCACUAUUGGCGGGGCUGGGAUCGGAGGCCUCGGAAGGAGGGAGUUAGGCUGGCAAGGGCGAAAGUGAAAGUGGCGAAGUCCCAGGCUAGAAGGAAAAGGGAAAUAACACAGUGGGAGCCCGGGCUAGAGCUGGAACUGGAACCUCACAGAGCAGCAAAUGCUCAGUGCCUUGAUUGCUAAGCCAGCGCCUCCUCCCCAACCCGCCUCCCUGGUCCCAUACCCCAGGGGAUUCGUUUCAGUUGGGGAAUUUUUGAGAGAAACCUGUCCCCAUUUUCCCUUAUCUACCUCUGUUUCUCUCAGGAACUCUCCCUUCAUCUUCAACAAAUAUUAGAGAAUGAUCUUUGCCAUCCUGGUUUUUCCUAUGAGAUUGAGGAAGUGAACACUCCACAGAAGGAAACACAUACAAAUAAACUAACCAACUCCAACUCUCAAGGCUGAGGCUUAAUGGAAAGGCACUGUAGGGGACUGGAAAAGACUCUCACUGAAUGUGGAGCCAGAGGGAUCCACGCUCUGCCACUGGCCAGGUCACCACUCUCCAUGUGUCAGAGGUCCUUGGUUUCUCACUCUGGGGUCCUUCACUCUGGACUGCUGGUCUGGCAGCUCUGUGAGUCUAACUACUGAGAUAUGAGGAUACAGAGCCAGAUUGGGUUGGAUGGAACAUGCUAAGCCUUCUGCCUCAGCCCAGGAGAACAAAACUAUGAUGUUGAGGCUGUUGAUGAUUUUUUAGGUUGACUCUCCCUUCUUCACUGCUGCCUUCUUCUUGUUGACUGCAGUCAUAGGUAAGACAUUCAUCUCAUACUACACUGAUUGUGUGGCUGGAAUUCUGAGGUUCCUUCAUUCUUACAAGCAAGCAAACAAACCUUCAAUUGAUCCCCUCAAGUUAAGCUCAGCAAUGGAAAGAAUACUGACUUUAGAGUCCUAGCAUCUAGCUUUAAAUCCUACUUUGACCUUUACUCCCUGUGUGACAUUGGGCAAGUCCCUAAAGAAAGAAAAAUUCUGUGAAGAAGGCAAAGCUGAUGAGAACAGGACCUAAAGAGAGGUUGGAAUUGCCCAUCUUCUCUCUACAUCCCAGAAGCUGGAAGAGCUGAGAUCCCUCUUCUCUCCCACUCUCACCAACUCUGCCUGCCUCUGACACAAGCAUGAAACAUUGAGAAAUCAAUUUCCACCAAUCAGGAGAGAGUACCAUGUAAUGGCCCUUUGAGCCAAGGCUUACACAGCUAAACUAGAAAAAUUACGAUCUACUCAUAUCCUACUCAAUUCUCAACCUCUUUUAGUAUGACUUUUGUCUAUCAUACAACUGAAAGUUCUCUCUUCAAGGUAUCCAAAAAUGACUUAGUUGCUAAAGACAAUGGACUUUUCUCAACCUUCAUCCUUCCUGGUUUCUCUACUACUUUUGUCAUUGUUGACUUUCUCCCAUUCUUGGGGAAUUUUUUCUCUGUUUCCCUUUCACUGUUUUCCCUUAGUUUUCCUAACAUGUUGAUCACUUCUCUCAUUCUGUUUUGCUGGGUCGUAUUCAUGACGUACACUCUUAGUUGGAAGUCUCCUAAAUUUUUGUUCUGGGCCUACUUUCCUCUUUACCCACUUUCCCAUUUUACCCACUCUCUACCACCACCACCAUCACUACUUAGUAGUAGUAGUGACUCCUACUCCUAGUGCAACUGUUACUGUUACUACUAGUGUUGUUGCUGCCACUCCAUCUCUCAGCUCUGGACAUUUUCUCUGGUUAGCCUCCAUACUCUCCCUUGUCAGCUUCACCUAUACUUACUUCCCUGAUUUACUUUAAGCCCUAACUAAAAUUCUAUCAAUUAUUGGAAGUCUUCCCCAGCCCCUCUUAAUUCUAGUGCCCUCCCUCUGUUAUUUAUUUGCUAUUUAUUUUCUUUGUA